CCUACGGGAGGCAGCAGUGAGGAAUAUUGGUCAAUGGGCGCGAGCCUGAACCAGCCAAGUAGCGUGAAGGAUGACUGCCCUACGGGUUGUAAACUUCUUUUAUAAAGGAAUAAAGUGAGGCACGUGUGCCUUUUUGUAUGUACUUUAUGAAUAAGGAUCGGCUAACUCCGUGCCAGCAGCCGCGGUAAUAUGGAGGAUCCGAGGGUUAUCCGGAUUUAUUGGGUUUAAAGGGAGCGUAGAUGGGUUGUUAAGUCAGUUGUGAAAGUUUUCGGCUCAACCGUAAAAUUGCAAUUGGUAAUGGCAGCCUUGAGUACAGUUGAGGUAGGCGGAAUUCGUGGUGUCGCGGUGAAAUGCUUAGAUAUCACGAAGAACUCCGAUUGCGAAGGCAGCUUACUAAACUGCCACUGACAUUGAUGCUCGAAAGUGUGGGUAUCAAACAGGAUUAGAUACCCGAGUAGUC
Molecule: ribosomal RNA, 460 nt
Filed under: uncultured bacterium
Lineage: Bacteria
Description: partial 16S ribosomal RNA
Rfam family: Bacterial small subunit ribosomal RNA
Source: RNAcentral